UCCGAGCGAGAGACUGAGAAAUAGAAGGAGCGUAGCAGAGCAGU
This 44-nucleotide small RNA is filed under the name Arabidopsis thaliana (thale cress). RNAcentral describes it as "ATSL072670". The record is from RNAcentral. Lineage: Eukaryota; Viridiplantae; Streptophyta; Magnoliopsida; Brassicales; Brassicaceae.